ACUCAGCCUCCUCCUAGCAGGUGGAGUGCUCCCUGGCCUGCCUGGAGCAGGAGAGGCACCAGAUGCAGGGAUCCCAGGGACAGGCUGAGUGGAGGAGGCCAGACCAGAACAUAGAAGACAAGAGAUGCUGGUGCCAGGCCUGCAGAUCCAAGAGCAGAGCUGGGAUGGAGGCAGGGCCCAGGAGCUUCGGGACCCAGAGUCUCCAUGCCAGCAGCUGAGACCCCUGCCCAGGCUCAGGACACAGUCCGUCUGCAGGAGCAGUUGCUGAUACUCACUGAGGUGAACAAGAGACUCAGAAGAGCUGGGCCAGAGCCACCAGCAACUAGGGGCCUGCUUGGAGCAGCUGCAGCAUCUGCAGGGAGAGCAGAUGGUGUUGGGGGGCCAUUGCAGGCCCUGGAGGCAGAGCACACCUGGCUACUUCAGGAGAAGGUGGGGCUGCUAGCAGCACUGGGUGUGGCCCCGGGCCAAGAGUCCUGUACACUCCAGGUCCUGGAGGUACCAGUGCCCCUCAGGAAAGAGCUAGAGGCACAAGAAUCACAUCCCAGGCUUCAUGAGGAGAUGGCUGAAUAUUGGAAGGCACGCUGGCACCGGCUGGCAGUUGCCCUGAAAUUUAAAGAGGAGGAACUGCAGAGACUCCAGAGGCAGAGUGGGACCUGGCCUCCCCAGCAUGCAUUUAUUGAGCAUCUGCUACAUGCCUGGCCCUCUUCUGUGUGCAGAAGCAAUGUCAAAUCAGAUCACUCCUUGUCCUCAACAGCUUAUGGUUUGGGGGCACCCGGUAAUUGAGGCAGACCGCAGCAGAGACCCCAGGCCAGCCCCCGGAGUCUGCAAAUGAAAGGAGCUGUGGGAGCCCAGGUCUGCCAAGGAGCUGGAGUCUGCAGUGUGGACUCCACCAGAGGCCAAUGGGAGGUGGGUUCAGAGCUGGCUGAGAUGCAGACUGAGCUCGAGAAGGUCUGCAAUGUGCUGGAAGCUUGAGACUCAGAGCUGAGAGCUGAGCAGUGGGCCCUGGAGGCUGCCCAGGACCAGGUGCUCAGCAGCUGCCCCCCUGCACUGUGCUUCCGACUGGCCUGC
RNAcentral lists this long non-coding RNA (1068 nucleotides) under Homo sapiens (human). Its description in RNAcentral is "non-protein coding lnc-EDC3-2:14". The record is from RNAcentral. Lineage: Eukaryota; Metazoa; Chordata; Mammalia; Primates; Hominidae.